AUUGAACGCUGGCGGCAUGCCUUACACAUGCAAGUCGAACGGCAGCACGGGAGCAAUCCUGGUGGCGAGUGGCGAACGGGUGAGUAAUAUAUCGGAACGUGCCCGGUCGUGGGGGAUAACGUAGCGAAAGCGUACGCUAAUACCGCAUACGAUCUACGGAUGAAAGCGGGGGGAUCGGCAAGACCUCGCGCGAUUGGAGCGGCCGAUAUCAGAUUAGGUAGUUGGUGAGGUAAAGGGCUCACCAAGCCGACGAUCUGUAGCUGGUCUGAGAGGACGACCAGCCACACUGGGACUGAGACACGGCCCAGACUCCUACGGGAGGCAGCAGUGGGGAAUUUUGGGACAAUGGGCGCAAGCCUGAUCCAGCAAUGCCGCGUGCAGGAUGAA
Molecule: ribosomal RNA, 387 nt
Filed under: uncultured bacterium
Lineage: Bacteria
Description: bacterial SSU rRNA
Rfam family: Bacterial small subunit ribosomal RNA
Source: RNAcentral